CUGCUUCGCCAAACCGCUUCAGACCGCCAUCAACUUGACAGUUUUGACAACUCGUUCCCAAAACUGUCAAAAAUCGCCAUAUUUGUGCUCGCACGAGAAGGAUUUUUUGUGUCACACUCAUCGCGGUAUCUCGUUUGGACCAGCUUCGAAAGGCCACAGUUGUGUGUAGCAUAAAUUCAGCUUAGCAAGAUGAUUACUCCUCGUUUGACGACCAUGGCCCGCACCGCUCUGGUUCAGCACCAGCGCCGCGGAUUCUACUCGGUCACUCCCGGAUUGCCGCAAGUCCGUGUCUCGCUUGGCGAGAAGGUCUGCCACGGCAUUGCCAUCUUCUGUGGCCUGUUGGCCUACCCAACCUGGGUGGUGGCCCAUAUGCGCGAAUACCGACAGGGCGGAGCUAAGUAAACUGUUUACAUCCCCCUUCGUUAAGGAUUUAGUUGCUAAUAUUCGGCAGUGGAAGUGGAACAGAGGAGGUCAUCAUCCGUGUGUUGAAAAUAACGUAAGAUCCGCAAGGUGCAUCCGUUUAUUUGUAAGUUCCAAAGUUGUAUCAUGAAAGUACUAAAGCGAUGGAGGAAUAAAAUGACCGGAAAGUAGACGUUUAUGUUGAA
This 605-nucleotide long non-coding RNA is filed under the name Aedes aegypti (yellow fever mosquito). Its description in RNAcentral is "lncRNA AAEL026565". Lineage: Eukaryota; Metazoa; Arthropoda; Insecta; Diptera; Culicidae. The record is from RNAcentral.